RNAcentral lists this transfer RNA (116 nucleotides) under Mycosarcoma maydis (corn smut). Its description in RNAcentral is "tRNA-Ser for anticodon CGA". It matches the Rfam family "tRNA". Rfam says of the family: Transfer RNA (tRNA) molecules are approximately 80 nucleotides in length. Their secondary structure includes four short double-helical elements and three loops (D, anti-codon, and T loops). Further hydrogen bonds mediate the characteristic L-shaped molecular structure. tRNAs have two regions of fundamental functional importance: the anti-codon, which is responsible for specific mRNA codon recognition, and the 3' end, to which the tRNAs corresponding amino acid is attached (by aminoacyl-tRNA synthetases). tRNAs cope with the degeneracy of the genetic code in two manners: having more than one tRNA (with a specific anti-codon) for a particular amino acid; and 'wobble' base-pairing, i.e. permitting non-standard base-pairing at the 3rd anti-codon position. The record is from RNAcentral. Lineage: Eukaryota; Fungi; Basidiomycota; Ustilaginomycetes; Ustilaginales.
GGCGCUUUGCCCGAGUGGUUAAGGGGUAAGUCUCGAAUUCCUUCUAUUCGAUCAUCCUGUGUGGUAGAGUUAACUUAUAGGCUCUGCCUGCGUCGGUUCAAAUCCGACAGGCGUCG